This 491-nucleotide ribosomal RNA is filed under the name uncultured bacterium. Its description in RNAcentral is "partial 16S ribosomal RNA". It matches the Rfam family "Bacterial small subunit ribosomal RNA", at positions 36 to 507 of the family's 1533-position model. The record is from RNAcentral.
UUUCCCUCUUUCUUUCGGCCUCCCCCCUGCCAGUCGAACGGCAGCACAGUAAGAGCUUGCUCUUACGGGUGGCGAGUGGCGGACGGGUGAGGAAUACAUCGGAAUCUACUUUUUCGUGGGGGAUAACGUAGGGAAACUUACGCUAAUACCGCAUACGACCUACGGGUGAAAGCAGGGGAUCUUCGGACCUUGCGCGAUUGAAUGAGCCGAUGUCGGAUUAGCUAGUUGGCGGGGUAAAGGCCCACCAAGGCGACGAUCCGUAGCUGGUCUGAGAGGAUGAUCAGCCACACUGGAACUGAGACACGGUCCAGACUCCUACGGGAGGCAGCAGUGGGGAAUAUUGGACAAUGGGCGCAAGCCUGAUCCAGCCAUACCGCGUGGGUGAAGAAGGCCUUCGGGUUGUAAAGCCCUUUGGUUGGGAAAGAAAAGCAGCAGGUUAAUACCCCGCUGUUCUGACGGUACCCAAAGAAUAAGCACCGGCUAACUUCGUG